UCUCAAAUGUAUGAGUGCRCCCUGCUCUGGCGGCGUCUUCAGUGUGAUAAGCAUCUUCACUGGAACAAGCUCCUUUUGGGGCACGUCUGCUCUGUGGGCUCUGUGCUGCAAACCGUCCUGUUUGGACAUGCACCUUGACAAUUUGACCUCAAAUCGGGUGGGACUACCCGCUGAACUUAAGCAUAUCAAUAAGCGGAGGAAAAGAAACUAACAAGGAUUCCCCUAGUAACGGCGAGUGAAGAGGGAAAAGCUCAAAUUUUGAAUCUGGCAUCUUUGAUGUUCGAGUUGUAAUCUAGAGAAGUGUUUUCUGCCUUGGACCACACAUAAAUUCCCUGGAACGGGGUGUCAUAGAGGGUGAGAAUCCCGUUUGUGGUGUGGACUGCCAUGGCUCUGCGAUACACUCUCGACGAGUCGAGUUGUUUGGGAAUGCAGCUCAAAACGGGUGGUAAAUUCCAUCUAAAGCUAAAUAUUGGCGAGAGACCGAUAGCGAACAAGUACCGUGAGGGAAAGAUGAAAAGCACUUUGGAAAGAGAGUGAAACAGUACGUGAAAUUGUUGAAAGGGAAGCGUUUGAAGUCAGUCACGUUGGUCGGAAUUCAGCCUGGCAUCUGCCUGGUGUACUUUCUGGCAAACGGGUCAGCAUCAGUUUCGAUCGAGGGAGAAAGGCUUGGGGAAUGUAGCUGUCUUCGGACAGUGUUAUAGCCCCUUGUUGCAUGUCUCGGUUGGGACUGAGGAACGCAGCACGCCUUAUGGCUGGGGUUCGCCCUCGGUACGUGCUUAGGAUGC
RNAcentral lists this ribosomal RNA (785 nucleotides) under uncultured Sebacinaceae. RNAcentral's name for it is "eukaryotic LSU rRNA". The stretch from base 144 to 785 matches the Rfam family "Eukaryotic large subunit ribosomal RNA", at positions 1 to 626 of the family's 3401-position model. Lineage: Eukaryota; Fungi; Basidiomycota; Agaricomycetes; Sebacinales; Sebacinaceae. The record is from RNAcentral.